ACAGACCGGACCUCUCGCGCCGCACCCCCGCUUCCUGCAGGCAUUCGUCACAGCGUUCAGCACUGCUUGGCCUAGUACUCGAUCCAGCUUUCAGGCCAUGCGCAAAUGCUCUGCUCCCAGCCAACUUGAAUUCGUUUCAAGGAAGAUUGCACAAGAAUUCAGCUCCACUGCUCCGAGCCAGGCCUGCUGGGCUGGCUGUUUUGUUCUCUCGGGCCCCAGUCCUGCCGAAGGACCUGCUGGCACAGACCCCUGGAGCAUCCCUAUUUUGAAGUAAUUUGCAGUGACUUAAAAUCCCUUGAGAAAACCCUGUUUUUCUCAGAGGUGGGAUUCAUCUCAGCUAGCCACAGAAGCCUGGAAGUUACAUGAGCGAUGCAAGCUAAUCAUUCUGGCUCUUCUGAUGGGGGAUGAAGAGGAGGCAUCUUGCAAAGUGUGACUCAGGUAAGGUAAGUGGGACAGAUCUGCUGAAAGUGCCC
This 473-nucleotide long non-coding RNA is filed under the name Apteryx rowi (Okarito brown kiwi). Its description in RNAcentral is "lncRNA (ENSARWG00000013546.1)". The record is from RNAcentral. Lineage: Eukaryota; Metazoa; Chordata; Aves; Apterygiformes; Apterygidae.